RNAcentral lists this ribosomal RNA (437 nucleotides) under Peptostreptococcaceae bacterium oral taxon 495. Its description in RNAcentral is "bacterial SSU rRNA". It matches the Rfam family "Bacterial small subunit ribosomal RNA", at positions 28 to 447 of the family's 1533-position model. Lineage: Bacteria; Bacillati; Bacillota; Clostridia; Peptostreptococcales; Peptostreptococcaceae. The record is from RNAcentral.
GAUGAACGCUGGCGGCGUGCCUAACACAUGCAAGUCGAGCGAGAAGCUAGCGACCGACACUUCGGUAGAGGGAGCUAGUGGAGAGCGGCGGACGGGUGAGUAACGCGUAGGCAACCUGCCCUUCACCCAGGGACAGCCUCCGGAAACGGGGAUUAAUACCUGAUGACCCGGUAGUGACACAUGUCACCAUCGGCAAAGAUUUAUUGGUGAGGGAUGGGCCUGCGUCUGAUUAGUUAGUUGGUGAGGUAACGGCUCACCAAGGCGACGAUCAGUAGCCGACCUGAGAGGGUGACCGGCCACAUUGGAACUGAGACACGGUCCAGACUCCUGCGGGAGGCAGCAGUGGGGAAUAUUGCACAAUGGGCGAAAGCCUGAUGCAGCAACGCCGCGUGAAGGAUGAAGGUCCCUUGGAUUGUAAACUUCUGUCCAUAGGGAAG